UCAUCAAGUUUGGGGGUAUCACCUGGAUUCUUCAUGGAGCUAUAAUUAUCAAGAUCAAUACUCUACUCCAAAUCCAACAUACACGCCAGAAUUCUUAUAUCAACCUCCAGUAAAAGAAGAAAAGUCAAAGUUGGAGGAAUUACUGUCAAAGGUCAUAGCAAACCAAGAGGAGAGGAUGAUGACUCAAGAAAUAUCGAGCCAUAAUUUUCAACACCAAAUGGAACAACUCAUCACCACUUCAACUCAUGGUCCUCAAUACAUGGAUUCCAAAACUGAGACAGAAAAUUCGAGAUUGGAGGAAUUGUUGUCCAAGUUCAUAGCAUCAAAUGAGGAGAGAGGAUUAAUCAAGAGAAGUCAAUUCAGAAUCAAGAGAUAGCAAUUCAAAAUCUACAGAACCAGAUGGAUCAAAUUCUCAAAGCCUUGAACAACUGUCCUCAAAAUAAUUGGUGUUACGAAGAGGAUUUCGAGAUUGAUGAAGUGCCCGAGCCAAAUCUACAACUGGAUGGGCCACGAGAUGUUGAAAAAGAGGAGACAAGUGGGGAUAAUGAAAACAAGGUCG
Molecule: long non-coding RNA, 559 nt
Filed under: Panax ginseng (ginseng)
Lineage: Eukaryota; Viridiplantae; Streptophyta; Magnoliopsida; Apiales; Araliaceae
Description: long non-coding RNA (PGIN_LNC012346)
Source: RNAcentral